Long non-coding RNA from Apodemus sylvaticus (European woodmouse), 793 nucleotides. RefSeq lists it as uncharacterized. The record is from RefSeq and is a predicted model, not a curated record. The transcript has 3 exons. NCBI's taxonomy places the organism in Eukaryota, Metazoa, Chordata, Mammalia, Rodentia, Muridae.
UGACAAAGGAGCUAGGGGUGCGGUGCGGUGCCCCUCGGAGGCCUGCCGACCUGCUACCUUCUCCGGCCUUCCUCCUGGCCGCGGUGAGGGCACUGAGUGGCUGCAGUGCUGCCGAGGUCCAGGUGCUGUGUUUUGCGGCGGCGACCCCCGGGCCGGGGGUCCGGGGAAUGGCGCUAACCCUGGAGACCUCGAUCCCGUGCGCCGCUCUUGCAGCUCAGGCUGCAGAAUUGUGUAACCGGUGACCUCCGGUUCCCCCUCCGCCGCGACUGCACGGCCACCCAGGCCCUGCCACCCGCGCUGCGUGGUUCACUGACUUGUGCGCCCAUGGAUCUGCUUCUGAGUCCCGCAACCGGCGACGCCUCCUUCCUCCAGCACAGGAAGUUUGCCAAUGAGACCACAGACCCUGAGAAGCACAUGCCAGAGUGAAGAGUGGCAGCAGAAAAGAAUGCAUAGCACCACAAGAGUCCAGGGGACUGAAAGGAAACAACAGAAGCCAUUUUCCUUCAUCAAAAAUCUAGAAAAUAGUCAUGUUUCCAGUUUAGACCUCAGAAGAGCUGCAACUCAGCAGUGCCAGAAAUGGGAGGACCCCAUCAUGGGAGCAAGCUGCAAUCACCUCACUCUACCGCCAUAAGGACAAUGAAACAACAUCAACAUACAACUUUCCACAAUGGAAACUUCGUAAUGACUGAAGAAGAUGCAGGUCAUUCCACUUCAAUGUUCAAUUCUACUUCACUCUGAACCAUAGCAGAAGAGAUUAUUACAAGAAACAACUUCAGUUUUAUAUUUAACUUCA